GCGUUGAAAAGUACGUGGAUGAGUUGUGGAUAGGGGUGAAAUGCCAAUCGAACCCAGAGAUAGCUGGUUCUCCCCGAAAUAGCUUUAGGGCUAGCGUCAUGAAGUACCUUAUGGGGGUAGAGCACUGGUUAGGCUAGGGGCCUUAUCCGGUUACCGAACCAUCCCAAACUCCGAAUACCAUAAGGGUAAUCAUGGCAGUCAGACAGUGGGUGACAAGGUCCAUUGUCGAGAGGGAAACAGCCCAGACCAACAGCUAAGGUCCCAAAAUCUAUGCUAAGUGGGAAAGGAUGUAGAGUUGCACAGACAGCCAGGAUGUUGGCUUAGAAGCAGCCACCAUUUAAAGAGUGCGUAAUAGCUCACUGGUCAAGUGACUCUGCGCCGAAAAUGUAACGGGGCUAAGCAUAGUACCGAAGCUUUGGAUUUGAUAUUUAAGAUAUUGAGUGGUAGGGGAGCGUUCCUAUUGGGCAGAAGCUAUACCGGAAGGAGUAGUGGACUGGUAGGAAGUGAGAAUGCUGGCAUAAGUAAGCGAGAAGGCAGGUGAGAAUCCUGCCCGCCGUAAACCUGAGGUUUCCUGGGGAAGGCUCGUCCGCCCAGGGUAAGCCGGGACCUAACCCGAGGCCUAAAGGCGUAGGGGAUGGACAACUGGUUGAGAUUCCAGUGCCACCAGGCUUUCGUUUGAGCGAAGGGGUGACGCAGGAGGAUAGGUGAAGCGCACGGAAGGAAGAGUGCGUCCAAGCAUGUAGAGGGCAGAUCAGGCAAAUCCGGUCUGUGUUAACCUUGAAGUGUGAUGGGGAGGGAAGCGUAGUACCGAAGUCAUUGAUUCCAGACUGCCAAGAAAAGCCUCUAGUGAGAAAGCGGGUGCCCGUACCGCAAACCGACACAGGUAGGUGAGGAGAGAAUCCUAAGGCGCGCGAGAGAACCCUCGUUAAGGAACUCGGCAAAAUGACCCCGUAACUUCGGGAGAAGGGGUGCUCUGGUAGCGUGAUUAUUAAGUUAAGAGCGUGAGAGAGCCGCAGUGAUCAGGCCCAGGCGACUGUUUAACAAAAACACAGGUCUCUGCCAAAUCGAAAGAUGACGUAUAGAGGCUGACGCCUGCCCGGUGCUGGAAGGUUAAGGGGAAAGGUUAGUCUUCGGGCGAAGCUUUGAACCGAAGCCCCAGUGAACGGCGGCCGUAACUAUAACGGUCCUAAGGUAGCGAAAUUCCUUGUCUGGUAAGUUCAGACCCGCACGAAAGGCGUAACGAUCUGGGCACUGUCUCGACGAGGGGCUCGGUGAAAUUGUAAUACCGGUGAAGAUGCCGGUUACCUGCGAUAGGACAGAAAGACCCCGUGGAGCUUUACUGCAGCUUGAUAUUGGAUUUUGGUAGUUCAUGUACAGGAUAGGUGGGAGGCAGAGAAAGCAGGUCGCAAGGCUUGCUGGAGCCAAUGGUGGGAUACCACUCUUGAAUUACUGGAGUUCUAACCUGGCACCGUGACCCGGUGCAGGGACAGUUUCAGGCGGGCAGUUUGACUGGGGCGGUCGCCUCCAAAAGAGUAACGGAGGCGCCCAAA
Molecule: ribosomal RNA, 1550 nt
Filed under: activated sludge metagenome
Description: bacterial LSU rRNA
Rfam family: Bacterial large subunit ribosomal RNA
Source: RNAcentral